Long non-coding RNA from Armigeres subalbatus, 865 nucleotides. RefSeq lists it as uncharacterized. Lineage: Eukaryota; Metazoa; Arthropoda; Insecta; Diptera; Culicidae. The transcript is spliced from 4 exons. The record is from RefSeq and is a predicted model, not a curated record.
UAUCCGGGCUUGAGAUGAAUGGCAGGCCAGAUCCCGAGAUUUUUACCUGCGAGAUCCUCCAAUUCAUAGGAUGAAGUGCCGUGUUUACUUUUCACCCGGCAGGGGAGAUAUUGACUACCAUAUUUGGCAUUAUAGUGAUUCGCAGCGUUAGACAGUUUCAUGUUUUUUCUAUAUAUUAAUUGCCCUGGUACGAAGGCUUUCGCGAAUCUGCGAUGUCGAAGAUUGUAGGCUGUAUUUGACAAGUUAUGUGCCUUGGAUAGAUUUUUCGCGACGAUGUCGUACAGUUUUGUGAACAUUUGCUGCUUUCUAGAAGCUCGCUGUUCAAUUGUAAGCUCUUCGUCGUGUCUGGCCAGGCGGUGAUCCGUUCCAACUUCUGACAACUCAUGGCCGUGUGUAAUAAAGAACGCACUGUGUUCAAAUAAAAAUAUUCUGGCAACUAAAACAGCUGUAAAUGUCUGGACUUGAAAAACCACUCCCGGCUCAAGAAAAAAUCAAGUGCUCCUCAAGGCCUAAAUAAAUUCCAUCAACUGAUUGGAAUGACCAGAUCAUCGUAGAUGUUAAUGGAUUAAAGCUGGUCCUGUCUAGAACUGGCAUCGGCUGCCAACAUUCAUCGGUGCAUUUGUUCCAGGAUUUGUGCUUAACUGAGAUUUCUAUACGAUGUUCAGCAUUGGUCGAGGCUGUUCCUCAGAGCGUAUAAACAAAGGAUAAAACAUUUAGGACAAGAUCCCGUCGGAAAGCCGAAGAAUGAUUUCCAUAACGAGAAGUUGACCGCCGUCAUCCCUAAACGCGAUCUAGAGGCACAUAAUUCAUAAACAAUGCAAACCAAAAAAUGUUACUUCUAAAAUGACAAUAAAAAUAAUCUAAU